This 30-nucleotide non-coding RNA is filed under the name Homo sapiens (human). Lineage: Eukaryota; Metazoa; Chordata; Mammalia; Primates; Hominidae. The record is from RNAcentral.
UCCCAAGUAGCUUGGACCACAAGCAGGUAC